RNAcentral lists this ribosomal RNA (491 nucleotides) under uncultured Acholeplasma sp. RNAcentral describes it as "bacterial SSU rRNA". It matches the Rfam family "Bacterial small subunit ribosomal RNA", at positions 882 to 1382 of the family's 1533-position model. Lineage: Bacteria; Bacillati; Mycoplasmatota; Mollicutes; Acholeplasmatales; Acholeplasmataceae. The record is from RNAcentral.
GCCCGCUCAAGAAACUUAAAGGAAUUGACGGGACCCCGCACAAGCGGUGGAUCAUGUUGUUUAAUUCGAUGAUACGCGAAGAACCUUACCAGGUCUUGACAUCCCCCGCGAUGCUUUAGAGAUAAAGCGGAGGUAUUCGGGGAGACAGGUGGUGCAUGGUUGUCGUCAGCUCGUGUCGUGAGAUGUUGGGUUAAGUCCCGCAACGAGCGCAACCCCUAUUGCUAGUUACCAUCAUUAAGUUGGGGACUCUAGCGAGACUGCCAGUGAUAAACUGGAGGAAGGUGGGGAUGACGUCAAAUCAUCAUGGCCCUUACGGCCUGGGCUACACACGUGCUACAAUGGUCGGUACAAAGGGUUGCCAAGCCGCGAGGUGGAGCUAAUCCCAUAAAACCGAUCGUAGUCCGGAUCGCAGUCUGCAACUCGACUGCGUGAAGUCGGAAUCGCUAGUAAUCGUGAAUCAGAAUGUCACGGUGAAUACGUUCCCGGGCCUU